AACGAACGCUGGCGGCAUGCCUAACACAUGCAAGUCGAACGAGACCUUCGGGUCUAGUGGCGCACGGGUGCGUAACGCGUGGGAACCUGCCCUUAGGUUCGGAAUAACUCCCCGAAAGGGGUGCUAAUACCGGAUAAUGUCUCCGGACCAAAGAUUUAUCGCCGUUGGAUGGGCCCGCGUUGGAUUAGCCCGUUGGUAGGGUAAAAGCCUACCCAGGCGACGAUCCAUAGCUGGUCUGAGAGGAUGAUCAGCCACACUGGGACUGUGACCCGGCCCAGACUCCUACGAGAGGCAGCAGUGGUGAACAUUGGACACUGGGCGAAAGCCUGAGCCAGCAAUGCCGCGUGAGUGAUGAAGGCCUUAGGGUUGUAAAGCUCUUUUACCCGGGAUGAUAAUGACAGUACCGGGAGAAGAAGCACCGGCUAACUCCGUG
This 433-nucleotide ribosomal RNA is filed under the name uncultured bacterium. Its description in RNAcentral is "partial 16S ribosomal RNA". It matches the Rfam family "Bacterial small subunit ribosomal RNA", at positions 29 to 507 of the family's 1533-position model. The record is from RNAcentral.